This 357-nucleotide unclassified non-coding RNA is filed under the name soil metagenome. RNAcentral's name for it is "partial contains 5.8S ribosomal RNA, internal transcribed spacer 2, and large subunit ribosomal RNA". The stretch from base 1 to 120 matches the Rfam family "5.8S ribosomal RNA", at positions 35 to 154 of the family's 154-position model. The record is from RNAcentral.
GAUGAAGAACGCAGCGAAAUGCGAUAAGUAAUGUGAAUUGCAGAAUUCAGUGAAUCAUCGAAUCUUUGAACGCACAUUGCGCCCGCUGGUAUUCCGGCGGGCAUGCCUGUUCGAGCGUCAUUUCAACCCUCAAGCUCUCCGGAGUUUGGUGUUGGGGCGCCUGGGGCUUUUCGACCUCAGGGCCCACAAGUCCAUCGGCGGGACCGCCAGGACACUGAGCGCAGUAGUAUUAUUUCGCUCGGUAGGAUCUUCCACGGCGGGUCGAUCUGGCCGCUAAACCCCCCAAUUCUCACCAAAGGUUGACCUCGGAUCAGGUAGGAAUACCCGCUGAACUUAAGCAUAUCAAUAAGCGGAGGA